GUUUUGUACCAAAAGGAUAUUUUUUUUAGGUUCCGGAGCAUUUUUUUACGAAACCAAAGCCUGGCCAUCCGGAAACGGAACCCAUAGCGUCAUGCUUUGCCGAAUUCUUCCAACAGGCCCAAAUUUGGAUAUGGACUUCUUUUGUAUCCUUGCGAGUCAUGUUCCUCGAUCCAUGAACUUUUCUCAGCCCCAGAUUUAAUAUAGGAACCCUCAAUGUAACGAAUGAACUCCGUGUCUCAAUUCUCUUGUCCAAAAUUCGAAGACGUGCAUCAAACUUUUCUAUGGCCAUCAAAUUUUGCUAUGGACACCCACAAACUUCUCAGAAACCCAAUGCUUUCCAGAGGCCCAGCUGCUACAUUUUUAUUUUACCAUUCUUUUAUUUUUCUUUUCUCACUAUUGCUCGGCUUUACUCUUCACUGCCUUCGGUCCACCCUAUUCGAAACACAGUAGGACACAAACUUCUGCAAAUUGGAUUUCGAGAUGGACUUGAGGGUGGAAGCCAACUUGGAGAUGGAAUUGCAACUGGGUCUUCGUCACAAAAGAAUUCCCCCAACAUCUAAAGCUUGCAAUCAGCUUCAUCCUCCUAUUCCGUGAAGGGAAAUUGGUGAUCUUGAUGAGAGAAUUGGCCUAGGCUCGUGGUGAUUUGUAUCGGGUACAAAACAAGUACAGGAGCUGUGGUGUCAAAAAUUCUAGAGUUCCAGACUUCUGACUUCGACUGUGUAAGGCGAGGAUAGCAGCUGCAGUUCGGCCAAGUAUCGGAAUUCCAGGAUUCAAACUCAAGGUUUGGUGUUUUAAACAGCCAAAACUUGAGGAUAAAAUCGGCACCCUAAGGCACGCCGUGUCAAAGUUCUAAAACAGUAUUGGCACCGUAAGGCACCGCCACCGGAGCUUUGAAAGCAGUUUCGGCACCCUAAGGCACGCCGAAUGGAGCUCUGAAACAGUAUUGGCACCGAAAGGUACCGCCACCGGAGCUUUGAAAGUGGUAAAACCAUAAAGAGAUGGAUUCUCCACCUUUUUCCUAUGGAACACGCUGCAGCGUCCUCUGUCUCCUUUGCUUUCCUUCUCCGUCUGCCUCCUUUUUCUUUUUUUUCUUGUACGGCCUUCUUGGCCUCUUAUAUAGUGUACUGAUGGUAUGGUUGAGUUUUAGAGAGACUCUUGUACUUGACAUGACAUGAAACACCAAGAGAUAACUAUGAUCCCUAUCAGGGAAUUACCGUGCAUCAGUUGCAAUCAAACUCUAAUACUUAAUAAGCUCAUGUGUAAUUAUGGGCAAUUGACCUUCACGCAUUUUCUGUCCUUUUUUAUUAUCUAUCUUUUUUUGUUUCAACAGCAAGUAACCUUCAAAGGCCACAUGGGUUGGCCUACGGUAACUAACUAUUGCUCCAUACCAAUCACCGCUGCAACUCAGAACUCCGCCUAUGUGAGAAGAAGCAAUCACCUGCGACCCUGCAUAACUGCAUUGAAACCAAGUGCUGCAUCCUAGAUUUUCAUCAACUAGAUCUCUCCAAUGCGUCUCCAGCUUUGUAAUCGUCACCACCAACCGACUUUAAUUCCUCACUUGAAUCAUCAACAUAUGUGACGGUCAAAGUUUGGAUAAAAUCCGGAACCUUGACUUCACUCAAAGCCUGUAUACCUCCUCGAGCACACUACCAGUACUCAUAAGUUGGUUAGGAUUCAAAGGCCCUUGUCUACUUCUUGCUCGAGUACGAGCUUGUCAUCCACGCGGGUCAUUUUUUGUACCACUUACUUCCAAUUUUUGAGUUAAGCCUCUGUUUGAACAGUUCUCCAUCAUGUUCAUUGAUGAUAUAUAUAAAAUUAGCUGCUCUACUUUUUCAUCUUGCAUCAAAGCCCCACAAAACAACAAGUUGCCAGGUCACCCAGCUUUAACUUUCAUGUUCCAGAAUAUAGGAAACUGCUGCUAUACAUGGGAGUAUACUCGUCUUUGCCUCUGAUAACAAUUGAAUUUCAUGCUUCCCUGAAGAUGAGUCCCUCAUUGAUCCAUCCAUUCACUUCUGUAUUCAGAGGUCUUUAUGAAAUAAAGAAUCUGAGGCCCUGUAGUAUUGAAAGCAAAACAACAAAACCAUGGAAAGGAAGUCUUGAUAUUUACACGGCCAUGAAUGUUUGGCUCGAAUAAGCUCAACUAAUUCCAGCUCUUCUUUCUCGCAAUAGCUCUUCUUGGAGUCCCGGAAAUUCUGUGCUCUUACUCCCAAGCUUGUUUGUCCUGAGGACUGAUAAUUCUGCCCCCCAAGUCUGCAAAGCACGUCAUCUUCAUAGAAUGUUUCUCUCGGGCAUUUUAUCAAACACCUCGUGGGCAUAUCUCAGAUUCUCAGACCUGUGAUGAAAUUUCAACCAAGCAGCCCAUAGAAGAUCAAUAUAUCAACAAAGAGUUCAAAUUAAUCACUAUUGCCUGGGGAUUGGGUUCAAUUCUUCGAGGCAGCAGUGGGAGAUAACACUGGGUUGAAUAUGGAGGCUCCUACAGUUCGACUUUGUCUCCUCCUCGCCGACGGAGGAACUCUUCCGGAAUUCGCUUGAAAGCCUUCCGCUUGGUUCUACCUCAGCGUCUGCCACAGUGAUUGGCAGAAGGUUGUCCGCUGAAGACCACUCGCUGGCCUUUAGAUCGACUUCGCUUCGGAGUGAAUCUUGUUGGAAAAAUUCUGGCGCAGUGCUUCGCCGGAUCUUAUCUCGCUGACGAGAUUUAGGCCAAGUGCACUCAGCGAGCUCUGCCUCUUGUGAUAAUGUUCCUUGCGAGCGUUCAUUGACGUACUUAUGGCCUCGCGGACGUUCGCUGACUGUCACGCGGACGUUACUACUGUUGGCCUUCUUCACGAGCACUCGCUUCGCGGCCAUCUCCUUCGCGCCAAUUUGCUCGCGGCCCCGCGCUCUUCGCGGUCACUCGCUUACGCGGUCAAUCGCUCGCGGCCAGUCGCUGAUGCGCCG
Molecule: long non-coding RNA, 2937 nt
Organism: Rosa chinensis
Lineage: Eukaryota; Viridiplantae; Streptophyta; Magnoliopsida; Rosales; Rosaceae
Exons: 5
Source: RefSeq, a predicted model, not a curated record